This 253-nucleotide ribosomal RNA is filed under the name uncultured bacterium. RNAcentral's name for it is "partial 16S ribosomal RNA". It matches the Rfam family "Bacterial small subunit ribosomal RNA", at positions 524 to 776 of the family's 1533-position model. The record is from RNAcentral.
UACAGAGGGGGCAAGCGUUAUUCGGAAUUAUUGGGCGUAAAGGGCGCGUAGGCGGCCUGGCAAGUGGAAGGUGAAAUCCCUCGGCUUAACCGAGGAACUGCCCUCCAAACUGCUUGGCUUGAGUCCGGGAGAGGUGAGUGGAAUUCCCAGUGUAGCGGUGAAAUGCGUAGAUAUGUGGAGGAACACCAAUGGCGAAGGCAGCCCCCUGGGUCAACACUGACGCUCAUGCACGAAAGCGUGGGGAGCAAACAGG